CCUACGGGUGGCAGCAGUGAGGAAUAUUGGUCAAUGGACGAGAGUCUGAACCAGCCAAGUAGCGUGAAGGAUGACUGCCCUAUGGGUUGUAAACUUCUUUUAUAUGGGAAUAAAAUGUUCCCAGUGUGGGAUUUUGUAUGUACCAUAUGAAUAAAGAUCGGCUAACUCCGUGCCAGCAGCCGCGGUAAUACGGAGGAUCCGAGCGUUAUCCGGAUUUAUUGGGUUUAAAGGGAACGUAGGUGGAUUGUUAAGUAAGUUGUGAAAGUUUGCGGCUCAACCGUAAAAUUGCAGUUGAAACUGGCAGUCUUGAGUACAGUAGAGGAGGGCGGAACUCGGGGUGUAGCGGUGAAAUGCGUAGAUAUCACGAAGAACUCCGAUUGCGAAGGCAGUUCACUGGACUGCAACUGACACUGAGGCUCGAAAGUGUGGGUAUCAAACAGGAUUAGAUACCCUUGUAGUC
RNAcentral lists this ribosomal RNA (460 nucleotides) under uncultured bacterium. RNAcentral describes it as "partial 16S ribosomal RNA". It matches the Rfam family "Bacterial small subunit ribosomal RNA", at positions 338 to 795 of the family's 1533-position model. The record is from RNAcentral.